This 253-nucleotide ribosomal RNA is filed under the name uncultured bacterium. RNAcentral describes it as "partial 16S ribosomal RNA". It matches the Rfam family "Bacterial small subunit ribosomal RNA", at positions 524 to 776 of the family's 1533-position model. The record is from RNAcentral.
UACAGAGGGGGCAAGCGUUGUUCGGAAUUACUGGGCGUAAAGGGCGCGUAGGUGGCCUUCUAAGUUGAACGUGAAAUCCCUGGGCUCAACCCAGGAACUGCGUCCAAGACUGGGAGGCUUGAAUCCGGGAGAGGGAUGCGGAAUUCCAGGUGUAGCGGUGAAAUGCGUAGAUAUCUGGAGGAACACCGGUGGCGAAGGCGGCAUCCUGGACCGGCAUUGACGCUGAGGCGCGAAAGCUAGGGGAGCAAACGGG